GGAAAACCGCAGCCCGACAGCCCAAUUCAAACACAAUCUGGGAAAAUCAGAGGUUCCUUUUGAAACCCUGAGAAGGAGCGGAAGGUCUGUGACAUGAGCAGAUGGGACGCGGAUGAUUUAACCCGUGCGUUGGCUGGGAGAACUCAGUGCCGGGAAGACCAGGAUCGGCGGUAGGAGCGAUGAGAGCGUUACUUAAACACCGACUGGGUACAGACCAAUGGACCGAGCGCUGGGAAAAAUCCCCAGGUGGCAGGCCCGCACUCUAUCUACGAAGGCACGCUGCUUCUCAUCGCAAGGCACGGCUCUCUGCGGACAGGCACGGUGCUCCACUGCAAGGCACACACAGAACCCGCAGGGAGGCCCAGCGGAAGAAGAAGCCAAGGAGAGAGACCUUUGCCGAUGCUCUCCUUGGCCUUCUUGUUCCCCGGAUGAGAUGUUCCGUGGCUGAUUUUGACGGUGUACGGUCAGGGGGCAGUGCAACAUCCAUUCCAAGGUAGAACUGGGUCUCUUCUAGAGGGGCUAGUUACCUGGGGAAAUUGGCAGGGAGUCUUGGCCCAGCUCCCUUUUGAAGAGACUCUCCCUUCUCUUGAAAUUUCAGACUUCACCAUUAAAUUGUCCUCCCACAGUG
Long non-coding RNA from Ornithorhynchus anatinus (platypus), 628 nucleotides. RefSeq lists it as uncharacterized. The record is from RefSeq and is a predicted model, not a curated record. Lineage: Eukaryota; Metazoa; Chordata; Mammalia; Monotremata; Ornithorhynchidae. The transcript has 3 exons.